GACGAACGCUGGCGGCGUGCUUAACACAUGCAAGUCGAACGGAAAGGCCUGCUUUCCCUUGUGGAUUGCGGGUGCUCGAGUGGCGAACGGGUGAGUAACACGUGAGUGAUCUGCCCCCAACUUGGGUAUAAGCCUGGGAAACUGGGUCUAAUUCCCGAUAGGACUGCAGGGUGGUGCCUGUGGUGGAAAACGAUUUUCUAGUGGUUGGGGAUGAGCUCGCGGCCUAUCAGCUUGUUGGUGGGGUAAUGGCCUACCAAGGCGGCGACGGGUAGCCGGCCUGGGAGGGUGGACGGCCACAUUGGGACUGAGAUACGGCCCAGACUCCGACGGGAGGCAGCAGUGGGGAAUAUUGCACAAUGGGCGGAAGCCUGAUGCAGCGACGCCGCGUGGGGGAUGACGGCCUUCGGGUGGUAAACUCCUUUCGACCGCGAGGAAGCCACCUGGUUGGAAGGGUGGUGACGGUAGUGGUAGAAGAAGCACCGGCUAACUACGUG
This 494-nucleotide ribosomal RNA is filed under the name uncultured bacterium. RNAcentral's name for it is "partial 16S ribosomal RNA". It matches the Rfam family "Bacterial small subunit ribosomal RNA", at positions 28 to 507 of the family's 1533-position model. The record is from RNAcentral.